RNAcentral lists this ribosomal RNA (440 nucleotides) under uncultured bacterium. RNAcentral describes it as "bacterial SSU rRNA". It matches the Rfam family "Bacterial small subunit ribosomal RNA", at positions 338 to 777 of the family's 1533-position model. The record is from RNAcentral.
CCUACGGGUGGCUGCAGUCGAGAAUCUUCGGCAAUGGGCGAAAGCCUGACCGAGCGACGCCGCGUGUGGGAUGAAGGCCCUCGGGUUGUAAACCACUGUCGUAGGGGAGGAAGGCUCCGUGAAGAACGGGGUUUGACCUAUCCUAGGAGGAAGUCCGGGCUAAGUUCGUGCCAGCAGCCGCGGUAAGACGAACCGGACAAACGUUAUUCGGAAUUACUGGGCUUAAAGGGUUUGUAGGCGGCCUUGUAAGUCAGGUGUGAAAUCCCUCGGCUCAACCGAGGAAUAGCGCUUGAUACUGCAAGGCUUGAGGGAGACAGGGGUAAGCGGAACUGAUGGUGGAGCGGUGAAAUGCGUUGAUAUCAUCAGGAACACCGGUGGCGAAAGCGGCUUACUGGGUCUCUUCUGACGCUGAGGAACGAAAGCUAGGGGAGCGAACGGGA